Molecule: ribosomal RNA, 248 nt
Filed under: uncultured Lactobacillus sp.
Lineage: Bacteria; Bacillati; Bacillota; Bacilli; Lactobacillales; Lactobacillaceae
Description: partial 16S ribosomal RNA
Rfam family: Bacterial small subunit ribosomal RNA
Source: RNAcentral
UACGUAGGUGGCAAGCGUUGUCCGGAUUUAUUGGGCGUAAAGCGAGCGCAGGCGGAAUGAUAAGUCUGAUGUGAAAGCCCACGGCUCAACCGUGGAACUGCAUCGGAAACUGUCAUUCUUGAGUGCAGAAGAGGAGAGUGGAACUCCAUGUGUAGCGGUGGAAUGCGUAGAUAUAUGGAAGAACACCAGUGGCGAAGGCGGCUCUCUGGUCUGCAACUGACGCUGAGGCUCGAAAGCAUGGGUAGCGA